Lytechinus pictus (painted urchin) is the source of this 1266-nucleotide long non-coding RNA. RefSeq lists it as uncharacterized. The transcript has 3 exons. The record is from RefSeq and is a predicted model, not a curated record. NCBI's taxonomy places the organism in Eukaryota, Metazoa, Echinodermata, Echinoidea, Temnopleuroida, Toxopneustidae.
GCAUGCAACUGGCGCAGUCGCAACCAUUUAAUUUGAAAAAGAAAUGCGCCCGUUUUUCGCCGUUAAAUGUUGCUGCCAAAUUUUGGAUCGAGAAUUAAGUGCGACGAAGAUGGCCGUUAAUAAUAGUUCUACUACUUUAAGAACACGGUUCAGAUUUGGAUAACGACUUCGAAGGCAUUCGCAGGAGACCAAACAGAGAAAGAGAGGGAGACACAAAACCACCUGUCUCGGUGUCACACAUGAGGAGUUGAGGAGGAGAUGAAGUCAGUGAAUAUUACCUGGCCUUGGGGAGUUUCCAGAAGAAGGCCAAGAAUCGCUGGAUGCCAGGAGUGGAGAUCCUUCGUUGCUGCCCUACAUGAUAGGAGGCAUCGGGCAGUAGAUGCUGUAAUUUGAAACGGAAGGUGUCCUGCCAAUAAAUUUUCAUCCCACCUGAACUGCCUUGCCUGCCUGCACCCAGUCAUCUGUUCCUGAGCAUUUUCCUCUAUUUUUCAUCAUCGUUUGUUUCGGCCUGUAUGAAGUGAAUUUCACAUUGAUUGGUGGAGCUGCUAAGUUGGCAUUACAGGGCCGGGGUAUGAUCCUUUGGGUUGAACAUCAUGACUGCUAGUUGGUCGGCAAAGGUGAUGGGAUCGAUCAAUGUCACAUGGAGUAAGAUCGAUACCAAUCUGCUUUGCUACAUUUCGAACAAUCUCAUACGGAUACGGAUAUUAUUGCGACAGGAGUACUGCUCGAUGUGGUCAAGCCUAUUUGACAAAGCAUUAUGGUGUUAGUCAUGUUAUCAGAAACCGAUUUUUCAAAAUCACGGAGUUGCUUCAAUUUAGUAUCGAUAGAUAUUUCAAGAACGUGUAGACUAGUGAGCUUUUCAUCAAGAAUUUCACGCAAUUUAUUUUCGCGCUUAUCCAUGUCAUCAUUGAGUUUUUGUCUCUCGCGUUCCAUUGCCACGGCCACCGCUCUUUGAACGACUGUAUCAAUAUGAUCUAGGUAUGCUGGGCUUUGUUUAGAUCCAGUUAAUGAUGAAGCAGAGGAUUGUGUACAUGCGUUAGCCGAGUGCAAGCGGCCUCUUGAUCUGGUGGAUAUCUUAGACAUGUUAGAGAUUACGUAAUGAUAUAAUUGAAAAGUGGGAUGGGCUAUGCAUCUGCCAACUCACCAGUCAACCAAUUAGAGAUGGCCUUCCAAAGUGACACAGCACGAAAAUAUCAAUAUGGGACUGGUCUAGUCAACACAUAGAUCCUGAAAAAACCAUGGAGACUGCAGACGCAAAAUGACUUC